This 506-nucleotide ribosomal RNA is filed under the name uncultured bacterium. Its description in RNAcentral is "partial 16S ribosomal RNA". It matches the Rfam family "Bacterial small subunit ribosomal RNA", at positions 29 to 523 of the family's 1533-position model. The record is from RNAcentral.
AGUGAACGCUGGCGGUAGGCCUAACACAUGCAAGUCGAACGGCAGCACAGAGGAGCUUGCUCCUUGGGUGGCGAGUGGCGGACGGGUGAGGAAUACAUCGGAAUCUACUCUGUCGUGGGGGAUAACGUAGGGAAGCUUACGCUAAUACCGCAUACGACCUACGGGUGAAAGCAGGGGAUCUUCGGACCUUGCGCGAUUGAAUGAGCCCAUGUCGGAUUAGCUAGUUGGCGGGGUAAAGGCCCACCAAGGCGACGAUCCGUUACUGGUCUGAGAGGAUGAUCAGCCACACUGGAACUGAGACACGGUCCAGACUCCUACGGGAGGCAGCAGUGGGGAAUAUUGGACAAUGGGCGCAAGCCUGAUCCAGCCAUACCGCGUGGGUGAAGAAGGCCUUCGGGUUGUAAAGCCCUUUUGUUGGGAAAGAAAUCCAUCUGGUUAAUACCCGGGUGGGAUGACGGUACCCAAAGAAUAAGCACCGGCUAACUUCGUGCCAGCCGCCGCCGUAA